Molecule: ribosomal RNA, 234 nt
Filed under: uncultured Actinomycetales bacterium
Lineage: Bacteria; Bacillati; Actinomycetota; Actinomycetes; Actinomycetales
Description: partial 16S ribosomal RNA
Rfam family: Bacterial small subunit ribosomal RNA
Source: RNAcentral
UGGCGAAUGGGUGAGUAACACGUGGGUGAUCUGCCCUGCACUUCGGGAUAAGCCUGGGAAACUGGGUCUAAUACCGGAUAGGACCAUGCUUUAGUGUGUGUGGUGGAAAGUUUUUCGGUGCAAGAUGAGCCCGCGGCCUAUCAGCUUGUUGGUGGGGUAAUGGCCUACCAAGGCGACGACGGGUAGCCGGCCUGAGAGGGUGUACGGCCACAUUGGGACUGAGAUACGGCCCAG